RNAcentral lists this ribosomal RNA (1365 nucleotides) under unidentified marine bacterioplankton. RNAcentral describes it as "bacterial SSU rRNA". It matches the Rfam family "Bacterial small subunit ribosomal RNA", at positions 9 to 1371 of the family's 1533-position model. The record is from RNAcentral.
GAGUUUGAUCAUGGCUCAGAUUGAACGCUGGCGGCAGGCCUAACACAUGCAAGUCGAGCGGUAGAGAGAAGCUUGCUUCUCUUGAGAGCGGCGGACGGGUGAGUAAAGCCUAGGAAUCUGCCUGGUAGUGGGGGAUAACGUUCGGAAACGGACGCUAAUACCGCAUACGUCCUACGGGAGAAAGCAGGGGACCUUCGGGCCUUGCGCUAUCAGAUGAGCCUAGGUCGGAUUAGCUAGUUGGUGAGGUAAUGGCUCACCAAGGCGACGAUCCGUAACUGGUCUGAGAGGAUGAUCAGUCACACUGGAACUGAGACACGGUCCAGACUCCUACGGGAGGCAGCAGUGGGGAAUAUUGGACAAUGGGCGAAAGCCUGAUCCAGCCAUGCCGCGUGUGUGAAGAAGGUCUUCGGAUUGUAAAGCACUUUAAGUUGGGAGGAAGGGCAUUAACCUAAUACGUUAGUGUUUUGACGUUACCGACAGAAUAAGCACCGGCUAACUCUGUGCCAGCAGCCGCGGUAAUACAGAGGGUGCAAGCGUUAAUCGGAAUUACUGGGCGUAAAGCGCGCGUAGGUGGUUUGUUAAGUUGGAUGUGAAAUCCCCGGGCUCAACCUGGGAACUGCAUUCAAAACUGACUGACUAGAGUAUGGUAGAGGGUGGUGGAAUUUCCUGUGUAGCGGUGAAAUGCGUAGAUAUAGGAAGGAACACCAGUGGCGAAGGCGACCACCUGGACUAAUACUGACACUGGGGUGCGAAAGCGCGGGGAGCAAACAGGAUUAGAUACCCUGGUAGUCCACGCCGUAAACGAUGACAACUAGCUGUUGGGAGACAAUGUCUUUCAGUGGCGCAGCUAACGUUUUAAGUUGUCCGCCUGGGGAGUACGGCCGCAAGGCUAAAACUCAAAUGAAUUGACGGGGACCCGCACAAGCGGUGGAGCAUGUGGUUUAAUUCGAUGCAACGCGAAAAACCUUACCUACUCUUGACAUACUUGGAAGCUCUUGUAAUGAGAGUGUGUCUUUUGGAACCAAGAUACAGGUGCUGCAUGGCUGUCGUCAGCUCGUGUCGUGAGAUGUUCCGUUAAGUCGGAUAACGAGCGCAACCCUUACCCUUAUUUGCCAGCGAUUCGGUCGGGAACUAUAAGGGGACUGCCGGUGAUAAACCGGAGGAAGGUGAGGACGACGUCAAGUCAUCAUGGCCCUUACGAGUAGGGCUACACACGUGCUACAAUGGGGAAUACAGACGGACGCUAAGCCGCGAGGUGGUGCUAAUCCUAGAAAGUUUCUCGUAGUCCGGAUUGGAGUCUGCAACUCGACUCCAUGAAGUCGGAAUCGCUAGUAAUCGCGGAUCAGCAUGCCGCGGUGAAUACGU